This is a long non-coding RNA of Ctenopharyngodon idella (grass carp), 785 nucleotides long. RefSeq lists it as uncharacterized. The transcript is spliced from 2 exons. The record is from RefSeq and is a predicted model, not a curated record. NCBI's taxonomy places the organism in Eukaryota, Metazoa, Chordata, Actinopteri, Cypriniformes, Xenocyprididae.
UUUGCAUUAAAAUGCCUGGACAUGCUAUAAUGCACAUUAUAUGUUGUAGAAAUUCUUCAUGCCUCAAUAUUACGCUGUCUGCUUAAGGGAUCGCAGACGGAUGGUACAAGACUGGAACUGAAAAACCGAGGGAGAUUCGAGGUGAUGUUGCCGUUCUUCAAAAAAGACAAUCUUGCAGUCCACAGGUCAGAGGUCAGCAACACUUGCAUUUAGAAUAAAUGAAUGUUUGUCCAUUUUUUUAAAUAAUUAAAUUUUUUUGUAAAGGUGUACACUGUUCACAAUUGCACAUGAAGCCAUCCAGCGAUGAUCGCUUGGGUAUUAACGUCAGUACUGCUAAAAAUAAUAACUCUGCACUUAAACACGGCAACUUAAAUAGUGGUAAUAAUACUCCAGAACGGCUCCGUGGUGUAACCUUACGUCUGUGAUCAUGAUCACAACCAUUUUACAUGCCAACACCACUGCAAUUAUGUUUAUUAAAACUAAUAUUGCUACAUCUCUACAAUCACUUUUAUGUUGAAAUAUAUACAGUAUUAUUACAGUUCUGGAUCGCUGGAACAGCUGUUGUUGCCACCGAUUCUUAAGCUUUUGUAGCACUGCUAAUUAUUAUUUAUUUUUACAUUUUAAUAUACUAAGCCAGUACAUAUUUGUGUGUUUUUUACUGUUUAAGUAAUAACUGUUUAUUAAGCUAAUUCUUAUUAUAAUGUUUGAAAUAAAAUAGAAACAAUUUGCUGAUUCAUUUUUUUGCUGUUCUUACAUAAUCAUGCAAAUAAAGGACAAUGGACAAA